This 488-nucleotide ribosomal RNA is filed under the name uncultured bacterium. RNAcentral describes it as "bacterial SSU rRNA". It matches the Rfam family "Bacterial small subunit ribosomal RNA", at positions 8 to 518 of the family's 1533-position model. The record is from RNAcentral.
AGAGUUGAUCCUGGCUCAGAACGAACGCUGGCGGCGAUGGAUUAGGCAUGCAAGUCGAACGGGAGCAGCAAUGCUCCAGUGGCGCAAGGGUGAGGAACACGUGAACAACCUGCCUUCGAGUUGGGGAUAGCUUCUGGAAACGGGAGAUAAUACCGAAUAACAUCACCGGAUCGCAUGAUCUGAUGAUCAAAGCAGCAAUGCGCUUGAAGAGGGGUUCGCGUCCCAUUAGCUAGUUGGUGAGGUAACGGCCCACCAAGGCGAUGAUGGUAGCUGGUCUGAGAGGACGAUCAGCCACAUUGGGACUGAGAUACUGCCCAGACUCCUACGGGAGGCUGCAGUCGAGAAUUUUGGGCAAUGGACGAAAGUCUGAACCCCCAGCAAUGCCGCGUGCGGGAUGAAGGUCUUCGGAUUGUAAACCGCUGUCAAGAGGGACGAAACAUGACGGUACCUCUGGAGGAAGCCACGGCUAACUACGUGCCAGCCGCGGC